RNAcentral lists this ribosomal RNA (419 nucleotides) under Salmonella enterica subsp. enterica. RNAcentral describes it as "partial 23S ribosomal RNA". It matches the Rfam family "Bacterial large subunit ribosomal RNA", at positions 949 to 1365 of the family's 2925-position model. Lineage: Bacteria; Pseudomonadati; Pseudomonadota; Gammaproteobacteria; Enterobacterales; Enterobacteriaceae. The record is from RNAcentral.
GCAAACUGCGAAUACCGGAGAAUGUUAUCACGGGAGACACACGGCGGGUGCUAACGUCCGUCGUGAAGAGGGAAACAACCCAGACCGCCAGCUAAGGUCCCAAAGUCAUGGUUAAGUGGGAAACGAUGUGGGAAGGCCCAGACAGCCAGGAUGUUGGCUUAGAAGCAGCCAUCAUUUAAAGAAAGCGUAAUAGCUCACUGGUCGAGUCGGCCUGCGCGGAAGAUGUAACGGGGCUAAACCAUGCACCGAAGCUGCGGCAGCGACGCUUAUGCGUUGUUGGGUAGGGGAGCGUUCUGUAAGCCUGCGAAGGUGGCCUGUGAGGGUUGCUGGAGGUAUCAGAAGUGCGAAUGCUGACAUAAGUAACGAUAAAGCGGGUGAAAAGCCCGCUCGCCGGAAGACCAAGGGUUCCUGUCCAACGU